GAUGAACGCUGGCGGCGUGCCUAAUACAUGCAAGUCGAGCGAACAGACGAGGAGCUUGCUCCUCUGACGUUAGCGGCGGACGGGUGAGUAACACGUGGAUAACCUACCUAUAAGACUGGGAUAACUUCGGGAAACCGGAGCUAAUACCGGAUAAUAUAUUGAACCGCAUGGUUCAAUAGUGAAAGACGGUUUUGCUGUCACUUAUAGAUGGAUCCGCGCCGCAUUAGCUAGUUGGUAAGGUAACGGCUUACCAAGGCGACGAUGCGUAGCCGACCUGAGAGGGUGAUCGGCCAAACUGGACCUGAGACACGGUCCAGACUCCUACGGGAGGCAGCAGUAGGGAAUCUUCCGCAAUGGGCGAAAGCCUGACGGAGCAACGCCGCGUGAGUGAUGAAGGUCUUCGGAUCGUAAAACUCUGUUAUUAGGGAAGAACAAAUGUGUAAGUAACUAUGCACGUCUUGACGGUACCGAAUCAGAAAGCCACGGCUAACUACGU
Molecule: ribosomal RNA, 496 nt
Filed under: uncultured bacterium
Lineage: Bacteria
Description: partial 16S ribosomal RNA
Rfam family: Bacterial small subunit ribosomal RNA
Source: RNAcentral